UACGUAGGGGGCAAGCGUUGUCCGGAAUUAUUGGGCGUAAAGAGCGCGUAGGCGGUCCGAUAAGUCGGCUGUGAAAGUCAGGGGCUCAACCCUUGGAAGCCGGCCGAUACUGUCGGACUAGAGUCCGGAAGAGGCAAGUGGAAUUCCCGGUGUAGCGGUGAAAUGCGCAGAUAUCGGGAGGAACACCGGUGGCGAAGGCGGGUCUCUGGGCCGAUACUGACGCUGAGGGGCGAAAGCGUGGGGAGCGAACAGG
RNAcentral lists this ribosomal RNA (253 nucleotides) under uncultured bacterium. Its description in RNAcentral is "partial 16S ribosomal RNA". It matches the Rfam family "Bacterial small subunit ribosomal RNA", at positions 524 to 776 of the family's 1533-position model. The record is from RNAcentral.